Molecule: ribosomal RNA, 501 nt
Filed under: uncultured bacterium
Lineage: Bacteria
Description: bacterial SSU rRNA
Rfam family: Bacterial small subunit ribosomal RNA
Source: RNAcentral
AUUGAACGCUGGCGGCAUGCCUUACACAUGCAAGUCGAACGGCAGCACGGGAGCUUGCUCCUGGUGGCGAGUGGCGAACGGGUGAGUAAUACAUCGGAACGUACCCUGAAGUGGGGGAUAACGUAGCGAAAGUUACGCUAAUACCGCAUAUUCUGUGAGCAGGAAAGAGGGGGAUCGCAAGACCUCUUGCUUUAGGAGCGGCCGAUGUCGGAUUAGCUAGUUGGUGAGGUAAAGGCUCACCAAGGCGACGAUCCGUAGCGGGUCUGAGAGGAUGAUCCGCCACACUGGGACUGAGACACGGCCCAGACUCCUACGGGAGGCAGCAGUGGGGAAUUUUGGGCAAUGGGCGCAAGCCUGAUCCAGCCAUGCCGCGUGAGUGAAGAAGGCCUUCGGUUGUAAAGCUCUUUCGGUGGGAAGAAAUUAGCUUCGGUUAAUAACCUGGAGUAGAUGACGGUACCGCAUAAGAAGACACCGGCUAACUACGUAGCCAGCAGCCGCGGU